GGCCGCGAAUUCGCCCUUAGGGUUUGAUUAUGGCUCAGAUUGAACGCUGGCGGCAGGCCUAACACAUGCAAGUCGAGCGGAUGAAGGGAGCUUGCUCCUGGAUUCAGCGGCGGACGGGUGAGUAAUGCCUAGGAAUCUGCCUGGUAGUGGGGGAUAACGUCCGGAAACGGGCGCUAAUACCGCAUACGUCCUGAGGGAGAAAGUGGGGGAUCUUCGGACCUCACGCUAUCAGAUGAGCCUAGGUCGGAUUAGCUAGUUGGUGGGGUAAAGGCCUACCAAGGCGACGAUCCGUAACUGGUCUGAGAGGAUGAUCAGUCACACUGGAACUGAGACACGGUCCAGACUCCUACGGGAGGCAGCAGUGGGGAAUAUUGGACAAUGGGCGAAAGCCUGAUCCAGCCAUGCCGCGUGUGUGAAGAAGGUCUUCGGAUUGUAAAGCACUUUAAGUUAGGAGGAAGGGCAGUAAGUUAAUACCUUGCUGUUUUGACGUUACCAACAGAAUAAGCACCGGCUAACUUCGUGCCAGCAGCCGCGGUAAUACGAAGGGUGCAAGCGUUAAUCGGAAUUACUGGGCGUAAAGCGCGCGUAGGUGGUUCAGCAAGUUGGAUGUGAAAUCCCCGGGCUCAACCUGGGAACUGCAUCCAAAACUACUGAGCUAGAGUACGGUAGAGGGUGGUGGAAUUUCCUGUGUAGCGGUGAAAUGCGGUAGAUAUAGGAAGGAACACCAGUGGCGAAGGCGGACCACCUGGACUGACACUGACACUGAGGUGC
Molecule: ribosomal RNA, 771 nt
Filed under: uncultured bacterium
Lineage: Bacteria
Description: partial 16S ribosomal RNA
Rfam family: Bacterial small subunit ribosomal RNA
Source: RNAcentral